UACGGGGGGGGCAAGCGUUGUUCGGAAUUACUGGGCGUAAAGGGCCUGUAGGCGGCCAACUAAGUCCGACGUGAAAUCCCAAGGCUUAACCUUGGAACUGCGUCGGAUACUGGAUGGCUUGAAUUCGGGAGAGGGAUGCAGAAUUCCUGGUGUAGCGGUGAAAUGCGCAGAUAUCAGGAGGAACACCGGUGGCGAAGGCGGUUCUCUGGGCAGGACCUGACGCUGAGGAGCGAAAGUGUGGGGAGCGAACAGG
This 253-nucleotide ribosomal RNA is filed under the name uncultured bacterium. RNAcentral describes it as "partial 16S ribosomal RNA". It matches the Rfam family "Bacterial small subunit ribosomal RNA", at positions 524 to 776 of the family's 1533-position model. The record is from RNAcentral.